GUAGGGAAUAUUGGGCAAUGGUCGGAAGACUGACCCAGCCAUGCCGCGUGCAGGAAGACGGCCCUCUGGGUUGUAAACUGCUUUUAUCUGGGAAGAAAAAGGCCAUGCGUGGCAAAUUGCCGGUACCAGAUGAAUAAGCACCGGCUAACUCCGUGCCAGCAGCCGCGGUAAGACGGAGGGUGCGAGCGUUGUCCGGAUUUAUUGGGUUUAAAGGGUGCGUAGGCGGCUGAUUAAGUCAGCGGUGAAAGACUUCGGCUUAACCGGAGCAGUGCCGUUGAUACUGGUUGGCUUGAGUGUCGGAGGGGUACAUGGAAUUGAUGGUGUAGCGGUGAAAUGCAUAGAUACCAUCAGGAACACCGAUAGCGAAGGCAUUGUACUGGCCGACAACUGACGCUGAUGCACGAAAGUGUGGGGAUCGAACAGGAUUAGAUACCCGGGUAGUCC
RNAcentral lists this ribosomal RNA (444 nucleotides) under uncultured bacterium. RNAcentral describes it as "partial 16S ribosomal RNA". It matches the Rfam family "Bacterial small subunit ribosomal RNA", at positions 354 to 796 of the family's 1533-position model. The record is from RNAcentral.